This 512-nucleotide ribosomal RNA is filed under the name uncultured bacterium. RNAcentral describes it as "partial 16S ribosomal RNA". It matches the Rfam family "Bacterial small subunit ribosomal RNA", at positions 28 to 507 of the family's 1533-position model. The record is from RNAcentral.
GAUGAACGCUGGCGGCGUGCCUAAUACAUGCAAGUCGAACGAAACUUCUUUAGCACCGAGUGCUUGCACUCACCGAUAAAGAGUUGAGUGGCGAACGGGUGAGUAACACGUGGGCAACCUGCCCAAAAGAGGGGGAUAACACUUGGAAACAGGUGCUAAUACCGCAUAACCAUAGUUACCGCAUGGUAACUAUGUAAAAGGUGGCUAUACUACCGCUUUUGGAUGGGCCCGCGGCGCAUUAGCUAGUUGGUAGGGUAAAGGCUUACCAAGGCAAUGAUGCGUAGCCGAAUUGAGAGGUUGAUCGGCCACAUUGGGACUGAGACACGGCCCAAACUCCUACGGGAGGCAGCAGUAGGGAAUCUUCGACAAUGGGCGAAAGCCUGAUGGAGCAACGCCGCGUGGGUGAAGAAGGUCUUCGGAUCGUAAAACCCUGUUGUUAGAGAAGAAAGUGCGUGAGAGUAACUGUUCACGUUUCGACGGUAUCUAACCAGAAAGCCACGGCUAACUACGUG